UCGCUGAAGGACCAGUGGUUGGGCCAUGGCGCUCUCAUGGCCACAGCCUGGGUUCGAUUCCCGGCCAGGGAA
This 72-nucleotide transfer RNA is filed under the name Pangasianodon gigas (Mekong giant catfish). RNAcentral's name for it is "tRNA-Glu". It matches the Rfam family "tRNA". Rfam says of the family: Transfer RNA (tRNA) molecules are approximately 80 nucleotides in length. Their secondary structure includes four short double-helical elements and three loops (D, anti-codon, and T loops). Lineage: Eukaryota; Metazoa; Chordata; Actinopteri; Siluriformes; Pangasiidae. The record is from RNAcentral.